Non-coding RNA from Arachis ipaensis, 8609 nucleotides. The record is from RefSeq and is a predicted model, not a curated record. Lineage: Eukaryota; Viridiplantae; Streptophyta; Magnoliopsida; Fabales; Fabaceae.
UAUGGUCAUUGAUCAACCACCCCUGCCCUAAAACCUCAAGGUCUGUCUUCUCUCCGGUGUCUUUCUCGCCAGUCUCUCCCUCAAGCUGUCUCAACUAUGUCACGGCUGGUGUCGGUGUCGCACUCAAUAUCUGUCGUCUCCGGCGUCUCAUUUCUCUCCGGUCUGGCACUCCACAUCUCGAACGCCGUUAGAGCCUUUUCCACUCAAGUUCAGAGUCCAGGCUCUCCCUCAACACUCACUCAGCCUCAGCCGGUCUGCACUCUGCUCCUCAACGACGCUCAGCCCCUCCACCGUCGCAGUGCCUGGCGCACGCUUUCCCUCCCUCGCAGUGGCAGCGGCCGUUGUUCAUUAGAUGCAACCCCACUUCGAAGCAAUCGCCCUAACUCAUCCGCUGAACUCGGUGCCGUUAGCGUCCUCCGCAGUGCAAUCAGCGCAGAAAAUAGUCGCAUUCCUCAAAAUCCUUCACCUGCUCUAUCAAACUCUGUGUAUGUGGAUGUCUCAGGAUCUCCUGAAGCUGCUGAUCAAUAUCUAGUGAAGGUCUUAAUCGUGUCCCUGAAGCUACUCUUUCAUAGUUGAAGCGCACUACCUGAGCAAUGGUCUGAAUCAAGUAGGUAGCAGAUUCUAUGCAACGGUUGGUGCAAAAAGGUGAGUCUGAUCAAGGGUCUUUAUUAUGGUUUGAUGCAAAAAGAUUUGCGGGUAUGUGAUAUUGCAAUCAAAAUAAGGCUUUGCUCGCAUAAUUAGACCUGGAAAUGGGUGGAAUUUGUGUUUCGACAUUCAUUUUUGACAGAGACAUCUGGAAAUUGAAACGACACAGAGAAUUGAGCCAUCACUGUUGCUUGCCGUCAACCUAAUAUACAGCACGUAACAUUGAAACUACAUAGGAAACUGAUACAUGACAAGUUUGUAAUUGGAGCUUGAGGAGAACCACGACAUCAUUCUUUGGCACUAUACAGAGCAAUGGAGAUAAGAAUAUCCACUUAACUGGCAUUUCUUGACCCAUCAAUCUCUGUGGGAUCGACCUCACUCAAAGUGAGUUAUUACUUGACUACGACCCGGUAUACUUGCCGGUGGAAUUAUUGUUAUAAAUUUUUUCGUAUCAAGUUUUUAGCGUCGUUGCUGGGAUUGAUAUAGAUUGACAAUUAUUAAGUUGAUGGAUACCUAGAUUAAACUAUUUUCUUCUAUUUUGCACACUAACUGUUUGACACUUGGUGUCACCUAACUCUAACCUUGCUCUGGCUUGAGAGUGAUCACUCUUUCAAGUGGUUUGUUUGUGUUCUGUGUAUGCCAGGAGGAAGAAGAGAAUGAUAAACUUCUUUUGAUUCUGAACUCGAGAGGACUUUCCUGAGGCUAAGGAGAGAAGCAAGAGGCAAAGGGGUCAUCGGUGAAGAGGAAGAAGACCUAGAUCAAGUCAUGGAAGAUGAUAUACCCCAUCAACAUGAAGAGGUUGCUAACAAUAAUGUUCAACCCGGUAGGAGGGUGUUAGCUUCUUACACCAUCCCCAAUUUCAGGAACUGUGGAAGCAGUAUACUUAUUCCUAAUGUGCACGCAAACAAUUUUGAGCUCAAACCUCAGCUCAUGACUCUAGUCCAUAACAAUUGUCAGUAUGGAGGAAGUCCCAUGGAAGACCCCAAUCAACAUUUGUCUGUGUUCUUAAGAAUAUGUGAUACGGGGUCAAGACAAAUAGGGUACAACCAAACAUAUACAAGUUGCUUUUAUUCCCCUUUUCUCUAAGGGUGUGUGUGGUUGGAGGAAUUAUUUUAUAAUUCCUAGGAAUUUUAAGAUGGGAAUAUCAUAUUGUCAUGUUUGGUUCAAAGUUUGAAAAGCUAUUCCUAAGCAAGUUUGAUUCCAGGGAAUCAAAAUACCAUCAUUUUAAUUCCCACCUUCUCCUUGGGUAUCUUUGAUUCCUAUGGGAAUGGAAUCUUUGUAACAAAGUAAUACUUGAACCACACACACCCUAAGGGAUAAGGCAUCUCAAUGGCUAGAGACAUUUCUAAAGGAGAGAAUCACCAAUUGGGAUGAUUUAGUUAACAAAUUUUUGGCCAAAUUCUUUCCAUUUCAAAGAAUCAUUAAGCUGAAAACUGAGGUGCAAACUUUCAGGCAAAUGGAGGGAGAGUCACUUUAUGAGGCUUGGGAGAGAUAUAAAGCAUUGAUGAAGAGGUGCCCACCAGACAUGUUCAAUAAGUGGGUACGACUUUAAAACUUCUAUAAAGGUUUAACUCUAGAAGCAAGAAAAGAACUGGACUACUCAUUAAGAGGCUCACUCCAAAUGAUGAAGACUCCCGAAGAAGCACAAGAUCUCAUUGAAAUUGGGGCGAACAAUUAAUAUUUCUACUCUUUGAAGAGGCACACAACUCCAAAAAAGGGAGUAUUGGAGCUUGAUGGUGUGGAUGGUAUCUUGGCCCAAAACAAGCUCAUGCACCAAUAGAUUCAACAACAAAUGGAGAUGAUGACUAAGAGGAUGAACGGAUUGCAACUAGCGUCUGUGAGCACACAAAGCCAAGAUCAAAUGUCAAAUGGAGUGAAUCAGCUUGAAGAAAGUUUUGAACCAUUCACCUAUGAGCAACAAGGCCCAGAGCAAGUCCAAUACAUAAACAACACCUCAAGUUCUUUUCAACAUGACUCCUAUGGUGACACAUACAAUCUAGCAUGGAGGAAUCAUCCCAACUUGAGGUGGGAUGAGAAUCAGAAACAAGGGCAAAGGAACUCAAAACUCCAACAAUUUUCGCAAUACAACCACAACCAACCAACCACUAACAAUAACCAAUUCAGAAAAUCACAAAAUACACAUUUCCAACCCCAGAACAAUUUCUUCACACUUGCAUUCAACACACAACACCCCUUCAAAUGUCUUAAACAAUUUUCACCAACAACCAUCUAAUUCAACACAAACAUAACCUCAUCCAGACUCCCAAAAGAUCUCCAAUCUAGAAUCAAUGAUAGAGAGAUUCAUAAAAACCCAAGAAAUGACAAACAAAUCAAGAGGCUUCAAUAAGAAACCUUGAAAGACAAGUGGGACAAUUAUCUAAGCAACUUGCUGAGAGCUAAUGCUUUUCCAAGCGAUACAAUUUCUAAUCCAAAGGAGGAAUGCAAGGCUAUACAGUUGAGGAGUGGCAAGACAGUGGGAGAAGAAACUAAGGAUAUCAACAAGGAAGAAACAGAGAUAAAGGAAAAUGACAAGGUGGAUCACAAGAAGAACAAUGAGUCACAAGCCUCAAGAAGGGACAAGAAAAUCAUGGAGCCACAACCACAAGAAAAGAAGGGAGAAGUGAAGCUAUAUGUCCAUAAAUUCCCUUACCCACAGGCUACACAAAGAGAUGAGGGAUCAACAAUUUCCUAAGUUCUUAGAAAUCUUCCGGAAGCUUGAAAUCAACAUUCCAUUAGCUAAGGCUUUGGAUCAGAUGUCAUUGUAUGCAAAGUUUCUUAAAGAACUCAUUACAAAAAAGGAGAGUUAAAAAGAGAAAGAAAUUGUGAUCCUCAAUCAAGAAUGUAUUGCCAUAAUUCAAAAGGGUCUUCCACUAAAACUCGGAUCCAGGAAGCUUCCUUAUACCAUGCACCAUUGGAAACAUUCGACAAAGUCUUUUGUGACUUGGGAGCAAGCAUCAAUCUAAUGCCUCUUUCCAUGAAGAAGAAACUACUAAUAGAGGAGGUUAAGCCUAUGAGAAUGUCACUGCAAUUUGUUGACAGGUCUCUCAAGAUACCCACUGGAAUGGUGGAAAAUCUAUUGGUGAAGAUUGAAAAAUUCAUUUUCCCUGUUGAUUUUGUAAUUUUGGAUAUGGAUAAAGAAGGGAGCAACUCAAUUAUUCUUGGAAGGCCUUUGUUAGCCACAGCCAAAGCAAUAAAUGAUGUGGAAAAGAAUGAAAUGAUUCUCAGGGUGCAUGAUGAGCAGAUGGUUCUCAAUGUUUUCAAGGUGAUGCAAUACCCUGCUGAGAAAGAAAACUGUAUGAGGAUAGAUAUGGUAGACACUUUGGUUGAAGAGGUACUCGAGACAAACCACUAUGAAGAGUAUGAAGAAGAAGUUCAAGACAUUUAACUAGAGGACUUAGAGGGAACACAAACAACUGAGAGAUCACUUGAGGGCAAGAAAGAAAAGGCACCAAAGCAAGAAUUGAAGCCUCUACUUCCAGGUCACAAAUAUGCUUUCCUUGGUGUUGAGGAGACUUUUUCAAUGAUCAUCAACUUUAACUUGAAUAUAGAAAAAGAGGGAAAGCUACUUGAUGUAUUGAGAACUUACAAGAAUGCACUAGGAUGGAUAAUUGACCUAAAAGGGUAUAAGCCCCACUAUUUGUAUCCACAAGAUACUUCUGGAGGAGGAUUUUAAGCUAGUGGUGCAACCUCAUAGAAGGCUUAAUUUCACAAUGAAAGAAGUAGUUUAGAAGGAGGUGAUGAAACUGUGGGAUGCAGGGAUUAUAUAUCUUAUUUCUGACCGUUCCUGGUUAGUUCAAUACAGGUGGUACCAAAGAAGGGAGACAUGACUGUUAUCUCUAAUGAGAAAAAUGAGUUUAUCCCCACAAGAAUAGUAACUGGGUGGAGGAUGUGUAUUGAUUAUAGGAGAUUAAACAAUGCCACAAGAAGGACCAUUUUCUUCUUCCUUUAAUUGAUCAGAUGUUAAAAAGGUUGGCUGGUCAUGUUUUUAAUUGUUGUCUGGAUGGAUAUUCUGGAUAUAAUCAGAUAGUUGUGGACCUGAAGGACCAAGAUAAGACUUCAUUCACUUGUCCCUUUGGAGUCUUUGCAUAUAGAAGAAUGUCAUUCGGGUUAUGCAAUGCUCCAGCAACUUUUCAAAGAUGCAUGCUCUCCAUCUUUUUCGAUAUGGUAGGAAAGUUCAUAGAUGUAUUUAUGGAUGAUUUUUCUGUUUUUGAUGACUCUUUUAAUACUUGCUUGUAUCAUCUUAUCCUUGUCUUGAAGAGAUGCCAAGAAACAAAUUUGGUUUUAAAUUGAAAAAUGUCAUUUCAUGAUACCCAAGGAGAUUGUUCUUGGUCAUAAAAUCUCAAAUAAGGGUAUAGAAGUUGACAAGGCAAAGGUAGAAGUCAUAGAAAAGGAAGUUAUGACCUCUAUGAACUUUUUUACCAGGAAAGAUGGAGAACAUGCAUCUUUGGAAGGUUGUUGGAGCAUUGCAUAACUCGAAUGUCAUUCUUCUAUAUGCAAAGACUUCAAAGGGACAAGUAAAUGAAGUCUUUUCUUGAUCUUUGGGGUCCACAACUAUCUGAUUAUAUUCAGAAUACUCAUCCAAAAAACAAUAAAAAACAUAAUCAGCCAACCUUUCUAAUAUCUGAUCAAUGAAAGGAAGAGGAAAAUAGACAUUCCUUGUGGCAUUGUUUAAUCUCCUUAAUCAAUACACAUCCUCCACCCAGUUACUGUUCUUGUGGGGAUAAGUUCAUUUUUCUCGUUAGAGAUAACAGUCAUGCCUCCCUUCUUUGGUACCACUUGGGACUAACUCAAGGGCGGUUAGAAAUAAGAUAUAUAAUCUCUGCAUCCUACUUCAUCACCUCCUUUUGAACUACUUCUUUCAUUGUGGGAUUAAGCUUUCUUUGAGGUUGAAUCCUCCAGAAGUAUCUUGUGGAUGCAAAUUGUGAGGCUUAUACCCUUUCGAUCAUCAAUUGUCUAGUCUAGUGUACUCUUGUAAGUUCUCAAUACAUCAAGUAGCUUUUCCUCUUCUUCUGUACUCAAGGUAGAGUUGAUGAUCACUGGAAAAGUCUCCUCAGCACGAGGUAGAGGCUUCAAUUCUUGCUUUGGUGCCCUUCUUUCUUGCACUCAAGUGAUCUUUCGGUUGCUUGUGUUCCCUCUGAGUCCUCUAGUUGAAUGUCUUGAACUUAUUCUUCAUGCUCUUCAUAGUGGUUUGUCUCAAGUACCUCUUCAACCAAAGUAUCUACUAUAUCUAUUCUCAUACAGUUUUCAGGUAUUGAAUUGCCUUGAAAACAUUGAGAACCAUUUGCUCAUCAUGCACUAUGAGAACCAUUUCACCCUUUUCAACAUCAAUUAUUGUUCUGGUUGUGGCUAAGAAAGGUCUUCCAAGAAUAAUUGAGUUUCUCCCUUCUUCAUCCAUAUCCAAGAUUACAAAAUCAACUGGGAAUAUGAAUUUCCCAACCUUCACCAAUCGAUUUUUCACCACUCCAUUGGGUAUCUUGAGAGACUUGUCAGCAAGUUGCAGUAACAUUCUCGUAGGCUUAACCUCCUCUAUUAGCAUUUUUCUUCAUCAUGGAGAGAGGCAUUAGAUUGAUGCUUGAUUUCAAAUCACAAAGGACUUUGUCAAUUGUCAUGUUUUCAAUGGUGCAUGGUAUUAGGAAGCUUUCUGGAUCUUUAAGUUUUGGUGGAAGACCCUUUUGAAUUAUAGCAAUACAUCCUUGAGUGAGGAUCACAAUUGCUCUUUCUUUCUAACUCUUCUUUUUGGUGAUGAGUUCUUUAAGAAACUUUGCAUACGGUGACAUCUGUUCCAAAGUCUCAGCUAAUGGAAUGUUAAUUUCAAGCUUUUGGAAGAUUUCUAAGAACUUAGGGAAUUGUUGAUUUCUCAUCUCUUUGUAAAAAUGUGUACCGGUGCUUAAGCCGGCAGUACCGGCCCUAAAUUGUCUGGUACUGUGUUUUAAGAAAAUAAGAUUUUGAAAAUUUAAUUUAUUGUUUUGAAAAGAUAAAAAUAAUUUGAAAUUAAGAAUUGGGCAAUAAUUCUAAAGGUUUUGGCCCAAAGGCCAAACGGACCUAAAAUGCUAACGGGUUAGAUUGGGUCCAAGUUGGGCCCAAAUCCAACAUAGAUAUAUGAUCAUUAAGACGCAUUCAGCCUCAUUUGGGCCACGCAUUGCUCUCGCCGAGCCCGUCAUUUCUAGCUAAGUUUUGUAGGUAAGAUCUCUAAAAUCGCGCUCCAAUUUUCAGCCCUAGCAUUUUCGCAUUUUUUAGUUUUAUUUUUGAGUAGAUUUUGUGAUUUUGUUUGUUUAGGGGUGAUCUAGCAUUGAAAUAUUGUUGGGUUUUGUCCCUAAUCUUGUGGGUAAGGUAAGGUUUCACUAAAUCCUUGCGUUUAGUUAUUUUGUGAACCUUAGGUUUGAUGUUGGUAUGUUUUAUGAUGUUAGAUUGAGUUUUAGUGUUUGUUGGAGUUGGUUUGAGGCUUUGGAUCGGGCUUGGUGGCUUUGUUUUGGUAUUUGGCGCAUUUUGGGAAUCGGACAAGGUAUGAUUUCGGUCUCCUUUAUGUAAUAUGUAAUGUUUCUGGACACUUAGGCUAGUAAACGUUAGGAUAUGUUUGAAUUGUUGAUGAAUUAUGAUGUUAAAUGAUGAUGAUGUUGUGGAUUGAAUGAUGUUAUAUUUGAGUAAAUGGUAUGGAGUGGAUAAAAGUUAUUUAUAUGGUUCGAAAUACAGCUCUUCUAUUCAAAUGGUGGUGGAGGUUCUCGAAGGAGGACUGUCCCUUAUGGAAGAAAGUAGUGUGCUCUUGUAAUAACAUGAAUCCGUCUGAGAUGCUACAUGGUCAACCUAUUCCUUUAAGAGGGGGUUCGUGGAGAGACAUUUGUCAGCUACAAAUUCGAGAGCCACAAAUCAGAGAGCAGAUGAUUAGAGGCUUGUCAAUGGAAGUGGGAAACGGUAGAACAAUCAGGUUCUGGGAAGAUGACUGGUUAAAUGGUGGUGUCUUGAAAGAUUUGUUCCCUAGACUUUUCUCGGUUUCAAACCUUAAAGGAUCUGUCAUAGGUGACUGCGGGUUUUGGAAUGGGUUAGAGUGGAUAUGGAGCUUUCAGUGGAGGCGACAGUUGUUCCAAUGGGAGCUGGAACUUUUGAACCAACUCCAUGAGAGACUACGUUCAGUUACGCUAGCAACAGAGAGAGAGGAUAGGGUGGUUUGGAAAUUUGAUAGAACUGGUAUUUUCUCUACUAAAUCCUUUGUGCAGGUAAUGCAGGAGGCAGUCCUUCCGGAGGAAGUAACAAGCUAUAGCUUCACUAGUGCUAUUUGGAGGGGUUUCGUCCCACUAAGGGUCGAAUUAUUUUCUUAGUUUGUUCUGAUUGAGAGGGUGAAUACCAAAGAACGACUGUGCAGAUUAGGGGUCAUUAACCCGCUUGAUAAUUUAUGUGCCUUAUGCUGUAAGUCUGUUGAGUAUGCUUUUCAUCUGUUUCUUGGGUGUGAGGUCACAUGGCAGGUAUGGGGUGCUUGGCUUUAUGCGCUUGGAUGAGAAUGGUCUGUACCAGGUACACUAAAGCAACAUUUUGAGAGCUGGACGACUGCUGCACCACGAAAGGAUGAGAGGAAGAGGUGGUUGAUUGGAUUCUUUGCUGUAAUCUGACAAUUUGGUUGGAAAGAAAUAAUCGGGUGUUCCAGAAUAAAGGCUCAGCAGUACAGGAAAUCACUAACAGGUCUUUUGUGCUUUCCGACGAGUGGAUUGGUGGUGCAGUCUUUGGUUGUUGAUGGUGAUGCCGAAGAUGACUCGAGGUUGCGUUACCUAUUUCAGUUGUUAGUAAUCUUUAUUUAGUUGUACUUAUGGCUUCUGAAUUCUGUUUGCUCCGCCUUGUGUGUUGAGCUAUUUAUUUCAAAAAAAAAAAAGUAGGUUGAAUUGAUGUAUAAGUGUUUUGUUGAUGUUGGAUUGAUGGUUGUUGAGAAUCGUGAUUUAUGAGUAUGAAUUUUUGGAAAAAUUUGAUGAGUUUGGUAA